RNAcentral lists this small RNA (769 nucleotides) under Arabidopsis thaliana (thale cress). Its description in RNAcentral is "ATSL254040". The record is from RNAcentral. Lineage: Eukaryota; Viridiplantae; Streptophyta; Magnoliopsida; Brassicales; Brassicaceae.
AAAUAUCUUGUUCAGGAUCUCGUAAUCAACAAGCGUUACCUCAAAGUUUUUGUUGAUUUGAAGCUUAAGGGUUAACCACUUAUCAUUACAAGAAAACUUAUCCUUCUUGAUGGAUUUCAACUGCUCCACAAGACUUUCCAUAUAGUUAAGUUUAAUCAAAAACUCAUGUUCAAAAAAGCUAAACAAGAAAGGUGAAUUUUCGCAAAUCUCCCUCCGUAAAACCUCGUACGUCUUCGAAAUAGUAUUAGUAGUAAAAUCUGUGGACUAUGUUUCUGUGUCAAGGUACGACAGGGAAAACGAAAUGUAUGAGUGAACUUUAUUGUUGUUUCCAUGAUGAAAUGGGGUUACAAAUUACGAUCAAAUUAUACUCAAAUCAUUAUUUGUAAAAAAACUAAAGUGAUAUUAACGUGGUUAACUCUGUUCUGUUAAUUUUUUUGGUGAUGUGAAUCCAAAAAUUACUUUGAAAGUUUCUCGUACAAUUAAAAGUUUAAAGUUGAUGAUGAACGGAAACUAUAAACAAUCAUAACAAGAAAUUCUCCAAAUUAUUUCAGCAACAAAUUUAUAUUUUGUCAAGAUCAACAAUGAUCGAUAACGAUAAUAUGAUUUAAGAGUUUUUUCAUACCAAAACUCUUUAGAAUUAAAAAUCCUCCUUUCAUAGGCCUUUGAACUAAAAAAUAGAACUCUUCAACAAUAUUUUAGUCAAAAGCUAAUGAUACGUGAAAGAGUUCGAUACCUUUUAUAACACCAUCCAAGGAUAUAGAUCAAGUCU